RNAcentral lists this unclassified non-coding RNA (223 nucleotides) under plant metagenome. RNAcentral's name for it is "partial contains small subunit ribosomal RNA, internal transcribed spacer 1, and 5.8S ribosomal RNA". The record is from RNAcentral.
UUUCCGUAGGUGAACCUGCGGAAGGAUCAUUAAAGAGAAUAUGCCCUUCGGGGUAGAUCUCCCACCCUUUGUUUAUAUUACCUUUGUUGCUUUGGCAGGCCCGUCUUCGGACCACCGGCUUCGGCUGGUCAGUGCUUGCCAGAGGACCCAAAACUCUUAGUAUUAAUGUCGUCUGAGUACUAUAUAAUAGUUAAAACUUUCAACAACGGAUCUCUUGGUUCUG